This 263-nucleotide unclassified non-coding RNA is filed under the name plant metagenome. Its description in RNAcentral is "partial contains small subunit ribosomal RNA, internal transcribed spacer 1, and 5.8S ribosomal RNA". The record is from RNAcentral.
UUUCCGUAGGUGAACCUGCGGAAGGAUCAUUAUUGUAUAACCGAGGUGCGAGGGCUGUCGCUGACCCGACAGGUCGUGCACGCCCGAGUGCCCUCACACACAUCCAUCUCACCCCUAUGUGCACCACCGCGUGGGUCCCCCUUUGGCUUGUUCGGAGGGGGGCUUACGUUUUCACACAAACUUUGUAUGCAGUGUAGAAUGUAUUUUUUGUUUUUGCGAUCACGCAAUCAAUACAACUUUCAACAACGGAUCUCUUGGUUCUG